AGGAGCUGGGAGACGCCUGGAACAGAUUCUCCCUCAGAGCUCCGGGAGGAACCAAGCCUGCCGACACCUUGAUUUCAGACUUCAGGCCUCCGGAACCAGGAGAGAACAAUUUCUGUUGUUUUAGGACAUCCCGUUUGUGGUCAUUUGUCAUGGCAGCCCUGAGAAGUUAAUACACAGAGUAGUCAGACGCUUGGGUGACAUCCCACAGCACAUUGGAUGAUUUCUUCCGUUACCUGGUCUCCCAAGGCCCACGGCCACAGAAAGGGUCCACCGCAAUGACGCUCAUUCCUGAGCAUCCGUAACGCAAUGCUGAAGACAGCAUCGUCUACCCAAAUUGGACGUCCUAAAGAAUCUUCCAGCCUGAAAUAAGAAACAGCAAGCAGUUUUCGUAAGGGCAUUACAGGGGAGUGGUGAUCUUUUCCCCUUAAUUCCAACCAUUUGGUGGUUGAAAAUUCUUUUGCAGCAGAAAAUUUAAGUGGUAGCUUGAAUGUUUAACUUUGCCAACGUUAGAAUGUCCCGGUCUCCAUCUGCUGAGUGGAAGAGAAAGAGAAAACCCUACUAGGACCAGCAGUGGGCCUGCUCAUUCAGGGGAGCAGCUAGCUGCCCCCGCCCCCAGUUGUAUCUCAGACAUGUCCUUCAGCUGUCUGCAAGGGCAAGAACAGUGACGGGACGAGGGGAGGUACCUGCAACUAACAGAAGCCUUUUAGUCAGCUCCCCCUCCCGUGUCCAGCCUGCCCCAACCUCUGGUCUUUUCUAACUCAUCUCUUUGCAAACGUAGACUGGCCAGUCAGACCUGUGUGUGUAGCUCUCCCCAUUGUGUAGACGAGAGGGUGGGAGUUCAGUGGGGUUGACAUGCUUCCUUUCAAAAACCUGAUAAACUUCCCUGGCAUGCCAGCCUUCCAGAAGCUUCUCUGCUCAGCUGCUCAGAGCUUCUUAAUCCUCUAUUGAGAGCUGAUAAUGAGCUUAAUUCUCCAAAGCAAACUCUGCAGCUGCUCAAAUCGAUGACAUAUUACGGACUCAAGAAGGCAAAUAACAGCGAUGGCUUUUAUUUAUAAUCAUGACCACCGGGAUGGGCUGAUGGGCUCAGAAGACUGAGCUGAAACAUUUUUUUUUUAAUCUUUUCAAAAUCCCUUUGAGGCAAGGAGUGGUAAAUACUUUCACCCUCAGCUCACCGAGGAAAUAAGUGUAAUUGAAGAGGAUUAGUGGAGAAGGGGGUUGGGGGAAGAAAGCCUCUGGAAUCCUUUUUUUGCUGCAUUAAAAGGUCACAAAGCCCUGUGUGCUCUCCCCCUCCCGAGGGUCUGAACCAUGUGGCCCCUGAGCCCCUGAAAAGUGGCUGCUGUGAACCAACGUGUUCUCUAAAUAGAAAGUCGAGACGGGGUUUCAAAGUCUUCGUACAAACAAAAUUAAAAUAUCUCAUUAAUAAUAUCUUCGAACGGAAUACCACCUGGUGUGCUAGGCAUUUGUGUCUGUGGUUUUUUUGAUUAUCUGACUUGUGACUCCUUAGAAGCUGGUCUCCCAAAGGACAGCAACGAAUGCAAAUCCCCAUGAGACGCCACACGAAACAAGAGGGGUCAGGGUCAAGCACGUUGGGGAAAAACUGCAGCAGAGUUCAACUUGGCUUUGAAAAGAGGUGAGGAAAAAAAGGGCUCCUGAAGUCUAGCAGCGAAGUUAACACGGCAUUUCAGAAAUGUGCGCCCGCCUGACUCCUGCCCACUCUUCCUUUUAUCUUUUUGCUUUUUUUGGGGUGAGGAAGAUUGGCCCUGAACUAACAUCUGUUGCCAAUCUUCCUCUUUUUGCUUGAGGAAGAUUGUUGCUGAGCUAACAUCUGUGCCCAUCUCCCUUUAUUUUGUACGUGGGAUGCUGCCACAGCGUGGCUUGAUGAGUGGUGUGUAGGUCUGCUCCUGGGAUCCAAACCCAUGAACCCCAGGCCACUAAAGUGGAGGGUGCGAACUCAACCACUACACCACUGGGCUGGCCCCUCUUCCUCCUUUUUUAAUGUCGGCCUAAUACCAAUGAACAGCUCAGGGAAUCACUCCUCAGCAGACCGAGCUGAGCGAGGGUGUAAGGAGUUGAAUAGCUGCACAGGACAGAGUGCCCAACAGAAAAAUGGGGCAAAGCUUGGAACCCACAGUCCACCUGUGAGAACCCCAUUUAAUUGGUGGGUUAUAGCAAGAGUAUGUUGGGGACUCAUGUCUGGGCACUGCAAUGGCCUUUUCUUCUCACAAACAUGCACCUGUGCCUAGAGGGCCCAGCGGCAGGCACAGACACUCCAGCAUCGUCCCAUCUGCUUCCCUGUGCAUCCCAGUUGGGAUCCUACACUCUCCCUUUAAAGCAGCUUAAAAUCCAUGAAAUAAGCUCUUUAACAAUAAAGAACAAAGAGGAAAUGUGGAGUUUUACAAUAAAGAUCAUUUUGUUGGCUUGACCUCUUCCUCAACAACAACCAGCAGGCUGUGUAAGUAGAGAUAAACAUCUUCAUGCCUCGGAAUGAGCCUUUAGCCAGAACCACUGCGGGCUUGAAUGACAGGGCCUUGAAGGAUGUGGUCGGUUCAGUCUUAAAUGCAGAAGGAGGGAGGGCGCACAGGAGGGCAGCUGAGAAGGGCGGGUUGAAAUGGAUGCAUCCACUCAAGCUCAGAUCUGAAAAGAAUUGGAAGCUAAAAGGCCACAUUGUGUCUGAUCUCUCCAUGCUUCUCUCUGACAAACAUGAAGACAUUUGGACUGACUGUUUCUUCUCAUCUGAUUUAUUAUGUUAAUUGGCUUUGGAGCAAAAACAUCUCACAAACGUGAUGGUACAGAAGGUCUCUAGAGAGAUUCCCAGUCUCUUAGUUACAUAGAUUCUUCUUUGGGGUGUAAAUAAAGCAGGACAUGCAUCUUCU
This 2873-nucleotide long non-coding RNA is filed under the name Equus caballus (horse). Its description in RNAcentral is "lncRNA (ENSECAG00000046226.1)". The record is from RNAcentral. Lineage: Eukaryota; Metazoa; Chordata; Mammalia; Perissodactyla; Equidae.